Cinara cedri is the source of this 604-nucleotide non-coding RNA. Lineage: Eukaryota; Metazoa; Arthropoda; Insecta; Hemiptera; Aphididae. The record is from the annotation of a GenBank genome assembly.
UAAAGGAGUCCCAUUUAAAAAAAGCGGGCCGUAAUCCGCAAUCCCACUCUGGCCAUCCUAUUCGACUAGCCAUAGCUUAAAGAUAGGAGGUUGUCCAUUUAGUGAAAGCUACAAUCAGUGCAAACUCGAUUGCAAUGCCUACGAAUUAUUCAACACAUAACGUGGUGGUCUUGUUGGAAAAAUUUCAAGUUUAUUUAAAGGAUGGUAAUAAUACAUAUUAAGGCAAUUAAUAGAAAAAAUUGCAAUGUUUUGAAUGUAGAUAUGGAAACAUUUUAACCAAGUUUUUAUUAAUAAACCAUUAAAAAAAAAUUAAUCCGUAAUUUAAAUGAAACUACAAUUCAUUUUAAUUAUCUGAAACGAUGUUUUGAAAAAUUUCAUAAAUCACGGAUAUACCAGCGUAAAAACCGUAUAUCCUAGCCUAAAGGAGUCCCAAUUAAAAAAAGCGGGCCGUAAUCCGCAAUCCCGCUCUGGUCAUCCUAUUCGACUAGCGAUAACUUAAAGAAAGGAGGUUGUCCAUUUAGUGAAAGCUACAAUCAGUGCAAACUCGAUUGCAAUGCCUACGAAUUAUUCAACACAUAACGUGGUGGUCUUGUGAAAAAACUUU